CCUACGGGGGGCAGCAGUGAGGAAUAUUGGUCAAUGGUCGGGAGACUGAACCAGCCAAGCCGCGUGAGGGAUGAAGGUACAGAGUAUCGUAAACCUCUUUUGUCAGGGAACAAAGGCGGGGACGUGUCCCCGGAUGAGUGUACCUGAAGAAAAAGCAUCGGCUAACUCCGUGCCAGCAGCUGCGGUAAUACGGAGGAUGAGAGCGUUAUCCGGAUUUAUGGGGUUUAAAGGGUGAGCAGGCGGUCUGUUAAGUCAGGGGUCAAAGCCCGGGGCUGAAACCCGGCCCGCCGUUGAAACUGGCAGUCUCGAGUUGGAGAGAAGUAGGCGGAAUGCGCGGUGUAGCGGUGAAAUGCAUAGAUAUUAGGAGGAACACCAGUGGCGAAGGCGGUCUGCUGGACAGCAACUGACGGUGAGGCGCGAAAGCGUGGGGAGCAAACAGGAUUAGAUACCCCAGUAGUC
This 459-nucleotide ribosomal RNA is filed under the name uncultured bacterium. RNAcentral's name for it is "partial 16S ribosomal RNA". It matches the Rfam family "Bacterial small subunit ribosomal RNA", at positions 338 to 795 of the family's 1533-position model. The record is from RNAcentral.